RNAcentral lists this long non-coding RNA (683 nucleotides) under Nicotiana benthamiana. RNAcentral's name for it is "long non-coding RNA (NBEN_LNC034668)". Lineage: Eukaryota; Viridiplantae; Streptophyta; Magnoliopsida; Solanales; Solanaceae. The record is from RNAcentral.
CUAAAAGUUCAAGAAGCAAACCUUAUUAGCCCCAGUGCUACAAAUCGAAUAAUAAUUUGAAUCAUUUAUACUUCGCAAUUUGCAUUGUAGCAGAGCAGACCACAGAAUAUCAGCAUACAAGCAUUGACUUCACACUAAUUAAGUAACUUAAUGCAACACUAAAAUGUAUUCAGGAUCGCACAGUAAGCAUUGAUUGCUAUUCAGCCAAACAUUUAGUUAAUAGAUGCUAACUAUUUUGAUUGCAGACUCAACAAACAUAUAUACAUCAAGCACAGUAAGUAUUGAUUGCUAUUCAGCCAAACAUUUAGUUAAUUGAUGCUAACUAUUUUGAUUGCAGACUCAACAAACAUAUACACAUCAACCAUAUGCAGUAGACUGGCCAACUAAAGUCAAGACCAUAUAGGGUGCACUAAUUAUAAUACAGAAAAGUCAAGAAUUAAUUUGAUCCGUUUAUUACUAAUAAUCAUGUUUGUGUUCCAAAAUUUAUUAUGUAUAACAUGAUAUAAAGAUCUAAUAUUAGUUAUGCGGAGCUUAAAGCCAUGAUUUUUUAAUAAUACAGAAAACCGGAUGAGAUCUAACAAUUACGAAUUUAGUUCGUUUACAUGAAUAAACUUCCAAUUUCAUCACAUGCCACACCAGACGAACAAAAGCACAAAAUGCAACGUAUAUUUCCGUGAGAAAAG